This 195-nucleotide non-coding RNA is filed under the name Arsenophonus endosymbiont of Aleurodicus floccissimus. Its description in RNAcentral is "GcvB RNA". It matches the Rfam family "GcvB RNA". Rfam says of the family: The gcvB gene encodes a small untranslated RNA involved in expression of the dipeptide and oligopeptide transport systems in Escherichia coli. Included several unknown homologues in alignment (Bateman A pers obs). The record is from Rfam by way of RNAcentral. Lineage: Bacteria; Pseudomonadati; Pseudomonadota; Gammaproteobacteria; Enterobacterales; Morganellaceae.
CCUUCCUCGGCCUGAAUGAACCCCUAAGCAGUUAAUUUAUUUAAAGUUAUUGGCUUUAUGGUUGUGAUGUUGUGUUUACAAAUUAUCUGGUUUUUCCAGGUUGAGUAGUUAAUUCUACUAUUUUCACUCCUAUACAUUUACCUUGUCUGUCCAUAGUUAUUUUAACGCGACGCAUUUAUUGCGGCGUUUUUUUAU